This is a long non-coding RNA of Entelurus aequoreus (snake pipefish), 2788 nucleotides long. RefSeq lists it as uncharacterized. The transcript has 3 exons. NCBI's taxonomy places the organism in Eukaryota, Metazoa, Chordata, Actinopteri, Syngnathiformes, Syngnathidae. The record is from RefSeq and is a predicted model, not a curated record.
GAUAAAAUACGUCUCAAAAUAGAUGGACCAACAUUGUUGAAACAUUUAAAUGCUACACAUUAGGAACCCAACUAUGAUGCAUUUAUUAUAUAAUUCAUUGAACCACACGUUUGUUUACAGAAUGUACACAACAGUCGUCACAUGACAUUUAAGGGAUAAAACACAUGGUGUCUUUUUUGCAUGCAUGUUUUAUCAUUUCAGAUGAUUGCACCAUCAGAAUGGAAGAAGUCGACCCUGCCAUAUACACAGCGUUGGAGAGUUGAGACCGUCCAUCAUGAACUCUGACGCGUUGAGGCCGCCUUUGAGAGUCUCGCCGCCCUCCGCCAGGGUGUCCAUCUCCGAGAGGUUGAAGGAGAAGACGCUGCGGUAGUUGCAAGCGGGGCUGGAAGACGGCAGACAUUCCAGAUCCCCGGCCACGGACUUGUACAGGGUUUCCCAGUCGGGGAGGCAGAGAGGCCCGCUCAGGUCCAAGAUGUCGGGGACGAAGGCCGCCCCGGCCGCCUCGGACGUCAGCGCCUCCAUCUCCAGGCUGGGCACCAAGUCGUCCAAGUCGUCCUUCAGGUCCGCCAGGGACGCUUCGUCGGCGCUGGAGCACAGGAGGAUGUCGGAGUCGCCCAAGAUGGCUGCAGCCGGGAUGCAGGGCUCCGGCUCUUGACCCGUGCUGCAUUCAGGCGACAUCAUCUGCGGAGAAUCCGGUGCCUCCUGCAUCGUCGCAUCCUCCUCGUCCCGCUCUGUGGCAGGCUGGAGCUGGCAGGAAUCGUGCGAGGCCAAGACCUGCUCCAGCCUCUCCUUCUCCUUCAGGAGCUCUUCUAUCUCCGACUGCAGACCCGACUUCUCCUCCUCUAACUGCUGCUGAUGAGAGCGAGUCCUGCAUGCUGCACCCAGGGGUGUCCCCGCCGGGCGAUGCUGUGCUGCAGCUGGGCGAUGACGACGACGACGAGUCGAACUCGGCGCUGGAAUCCGGGUGCAUUAUUAUCACUUAUAAUUGUUUCUCUAGAAAAAUAAGAACAAAUCACAGCAUUUGAAAAAAAAACUCACUUAUCUUCCAUUUGCCAGCUUGAUAUUGAAUGGUAGGGAGUGGGGAGGGGGACCCGCCUUUUAUAGUGAGCUGCAUUUUUAUGAAUGAAAUGUGGGAGAGCGAACCAUUCUGCACAAAAAAGGGGGGGUGGGGAAAUAGGAAAACAUAGGUGAUCUUCUCUUUUUAGCGAAUUAAUAAUAUACAAAAUAACCACAUAAUAAUACAUUGUGUCCUAUCUUGUUGUGCGACGCACGUGGGAAUGGAAUAUGCGUAUAUGAGACGACGACCCCCCCUGCGUGGAAGGUGUCCCUCUGCACGUACGUCACGUCAUGCAUGCAACAUCUGCAUCAUAUACAUCAUGCACCAUUGUCUCGUCACGCUGCAGCGUGGAAGAGCUCUAAUCACGCCAUUUUUUUGCCGAUCAACCAUGGCACGUGAGACGUUUGGCGGGAUUAUUUCGUGAGGCGACGAAAGGGGUGGGGUGGGGGGGGGGGGGUAUAAUCCACUACUGUCUCACCUGCCGCAUGCGUGUAAAAAUAGACCUCCAGCAACAGACAAAAAAAAACAACCAAUAGCCAAAUGGACACCACUGACCAUGUAAGGCACUUCCGGCGAGCAGGGGUGCAAGCAGGGCCGGCCCGUGGCAUAGGCCGUAUAGGCAAAUGCUAAGGGCGCCGUCCAUCAGGGGGCGCCACGCCAGUGCCACAAAUGUUGGAGAAAAAAACAAAACAAAAAGAAAAGUUGGUACUAUUAUUUCUAAAUACAAAAAAUAAUCCCAUGUUAAUUAAAAUGCAAAGUAAAGCCUAUUUAAUAGAAAUAUUAUUUGUUACAACAUUACGCCCCCCCUCCCUUCCCGUAUCAUGACUCUUUUUGGACGUCACCUCAUCAAAAAAUCAACACAAGAUGUCAAAACGGCCAAAACUGUCAGGUGCCCAGGGAAGAAAAAAUAGAAAAGAAGAGGAGGAGAAACGAGAAAAAGACAGAGGUAGCAGGUAGGUAACGUUAGCCUACAUGGAAUUAUUUGUCUGUUACAGAAUGUGAUAGUAACCUGGCUUUUUAGCAUUAAGCUAAUGUUACAUGAUUCGACAAUUGCUAAUCAAUAAAUAGCUGGUUCUGUUUUAACGUCGGGUUAACAUUGUGGAGGGGGCUAAAUUGUUAUGGAAAAUAAUAAUGUAACGUUAGGUAAUUACAGUACUCCCACCUUACAUUCCUCAGAGACAUUUGUAUUAGAACUUUUAAGCAGGUGUUUUUUGUUUACAUUGUUAUUGCCUUCUGGUUAGCUAAUGUUUGACCUGCAGGUAAUAGUCACUUUUCCACCCAUUUAUAUAUUAGGUAUUGUUGUAAGUCUAGUUGUUAAAGUGCACAUCAUUAAUGUUAAUUAAGCAAUAUUACAUGAGAGGGAAUGCUGUUUUUUAAUUUGAGCACUGCUGUGAUUCGGUUAAAGAUAAUCAUAACAUAACAUUCUCAUAUAAUAUUUUAUACUGUUACUUUGCAUUCUGCUAUUCAGCAUUUCACUGUAAUGAUGACAAUAAAUUGAUUGUUAGAUAUUCAUUUUUUAUUUUUUGUAUUCAUUUAUUUAUUCAAUUUUUUUAUCUUGUUAACUAUUCUGAUUGUUAAUUUGCUUUCUUUAAGUAAAAAAAAAAGGUCAAAGACAAAGCUAUUCGGUUUUUUGUGAGUAUAUACACUUAACUGCCGAUGUGGGGGGGCGCCACCUAAAAUCUUGCCUAGGGCGCCAGAUUGGUCAGGGCCGGGCCUGGGUGCAAGGCAGCU